RNAcentral lists this ribosomal RNA (496 nucleotides) under uncultured bacterium. Its description in RNAcentral is "partial 16S ribosomal RNA". It matches the Rfam family "Bacterial small subunit ribosomal RNA", at positions 29 to 507 of the family's 1533-position model. The record is from RNAcentral.
AUGAACGCUGGCGGCGUGCCUAAUACAUGCAAGUCGAGCGAACAGACGAGGAGCUUGCUCCUCUGACGUUAGCGGCGGACGGGUGAGUAACACGUGGAUAACCUACCUAUAAGACUGGAAUAACUUUGGGAAACCGGAGCUAAUACCGGAUAAUAUAUUGAACCGCAUGGUUCAAUAGUGAAAGACGGUUUUGCUGUCACUUAUAGAUGGAUCCGCGCCGCAUUAGCUAGUUGGUAAGGUAACGGCUUACCAAGGCGACGAUGCGUAGCCGACCUGAGAGGGUGAUCGGCCACACUGGAACUGAGACACGGUCCAGACUCCUACGGGAGGCAGCAGUAGGGAAUCUUCCGCAAUGGGCGAAAGCCUGACGGAGCAACGCCGCGUGAGUGAUGAAGGUCUUCGGAUCGUAAAACUCUGUUAUUAGGGAAGAACAAAUGUGUAAGUAACUAUGCACGUCUUGACGGUACCUAAUCAGAAAGCCACGGCUAACUACGCG